This 329-nucleotide unclassified non-coding RNA is filed under the name soil metagenome. RNAcentral describes it as "partial contains 5.8S ribosomal RNA, internal transcribed spacer 2, and large subunit ribosomal RNA". The stretch from base 1 to 120 matches the Rfam family "5.8S ribosomal RNA", at positions 35 to 154 of the family's 154-position model. The record is from RNAcentral.
GAUGAAGAACGCAGCGAAAGGCGAUAAGUAAUGUGAAUUGCAGAAUUCAGUGAAUCAUCGAAUCUUUGAACGCACAUUGCGCCCUCUGGUAUUCCGGGGGGCAUGCCUGUUCGAGCGUCAUUAUAACCACUCAAGCUCUCGCUUGGUAUUGGAGUUCGCGAUCUCGCGGCUCCUAAAAUCAGUGGCGGUGCCUGUCGGCUCUACGCGUAGUAAUACUCCUCGCGAUUGAGUCCGGUAGGUUUACUUGCCAGCAACCCCCAAUUUUUACAGGUUGACCUCGGAUCAGGUAGGGAUACCCGCUGAACUUAAGCAUAUCAAUAAGCGGAGGA